Schistocerca gregaria is the source of this 962-nucleotide long non-coding RNA. RefSeq lists it as uncharacterized. Lineage: Eukaryota; Metazoa; Arthropoda; Insecta; Orthoptera; Acrididae. The transcript has 4 exons. The record is from RefSeq and is a predicted model, not a curated record.
GAAAGGAGCGCAGCCACAGUUCCUCCCCUGAUGUAUACAUUCAAAUCAAUAUUUACAAACAAAAGAUGGUGUGUGUUUUGUGCAAAUGUGAGGUGCUGAGACUUUCGAAAGAUGUAACUAUCUAGGAAUAACAUGCGCAAUUGCUUUCUUCUUGCUAAAUUCAUCACUGGGAAGGGUAUGAUUGUGGAAGAAUAUUAUGACGUCCUUGCUCCAUCCUUAUCAUUCUUGACCUUUCAGGUCUAUAUGGUUUCAACACUACGGCUUCUCCUGCCAUCACUUGACAACCUAGCAGUUUGCAGCUCUGAAACCUGACCUGUGCUUGAUUAAGAUCCCCCACAGAUGAGAGACAGGCAUCAGCUGGACAGAAGAGUGUUACUCUUAUGUUCAGCAAGCAGCUAGAGAGUACCUCGGGUAUUGUACCAAACUCAGACUUGUGAACACGAGCAUCAAGUUCAUCCAUUAUAAUCUUGUCUCCCCUGUACGACAACAUGGUUCCUAGAAAUUUGAAUCUAUCUACUUGCACUGUAAUCUUGUUGUUUAUAAUACUUAUGUUAUUACUGGUUUUUUCCACAGAAAGCCAUGGCUUUUGUUUUUUGUAUUGAUAUUGACAUAUAUAUCUAGCAUAUUUGGUAUAGUCCUUGGCAGAUCUCUGCUGUCCAUCUUCACUAUUCAAAAUUAACGCCAGGUCAUCUGCAAAUAACAAGAGUCAUAAUGUAAUCUUUCUGGUUGAAGUUAUAUGCAUAGUUCUUCAGUUUCAUUCUCCAUUGCUGUAUAAUGUCAUCAGUGUAUAUACUAAAAAGCAGUGGAGAGAGGUUACAACUUUGUGGAAAUCCUAAAUUAAUAACCUUUGCUGUUUUUCCAUUAUUCCCAAUUCUUUGGAUUCUUGUAUUAGCUUAGAUCUUUCGAACUUUCUGUACAACAUGUAUUGGUAUACCUUUUGUUAUUAAAAUUUCCCACAAUAA